AAGUUCUGACUCUGAUCAAAGAAAGACAGUAAAAAGAAACCAGAAGCUCUAAUCAACUACUGGUCUUAGAAUCUGAUGAUCAAGAAGACUAGUAUUCUGAGAAGCUUAAGGAAGAAGUACGUCAAAGAAGUUCUGACUCUGAUCAAAGAAAGACAGUAAAAAGAAACCAGAAGCUCUAAUCAACUACUGGUCUUAGAAUCUGAUGAUCAAGAAGACUAGUAUUCUGAGAAGCUCUA
RNAcentral lists this long non-coding RNA (236 nucleotides) under Lathyrus oleraceus (garden pea). RNAcentral describes it as "Pisum sativum (pea) long non-coding RNA (PSAT_LNC022834)". The record is from RNAcentral. Lineage: Eukaryota; Viridiplantae; Streptophyta; Magnoliopsida; Fabales; Fabaceae.